Molecule: long non-coding RNA, 4157 nt
Filed under: Homo sapiens (human)
Lineage: Eukaryota; Metazoa; Chordata; Mammalia; Primates; Hominidae
Description: non-protein coding lnc-MYH11-2:1
Source: RNAcentral
CAUACUGUUGGUCUAAAGUAAAUGAUUUUAGCAUUUCUCCUUGAUUCUUUCUGUAAACCUUUAUUAAAUCCCUAUAUGCCAGGUGAGUAAGUUUCAGGCUGUAACUCUAGAAAGGUGUUGGUUAAUGGGAGAGUCAAGACCCCCAAGCAGGCAACUAGUCAGGGCGGUCAGGGCAGUGGGCGCGCUGAGGAGGGCCGUGUCAGGGCCCACUUCCCAAGCCUGGGGAGCCUGUUGCAAAACCUUCAAGGAUGUGCCUGAGGGAAGCACGUGACAAGGAGGGGAGAGAGCAUUCUGGGCAAAGGGGAUGAUGACAUGAGCAGAUGCAGGGUUGUGACAAGUGGCAUGGAGUGUCGAGAGGCUAAGAGGGAGCUGAGAGCUCGGUUAGGGAGGGCGUGGCUCCUCCAGGUAAGGAGGGAGGACUGUGUUGGAGAGAGCUGGAGCCCAGGUUUGCAUUUGAAAAGCACCCCAGUGGUGCUGUCCAUGGUAGAGCCGAGAGAAGCAGGCAUGGAGAAGGGAACUGGGCUAGGAUCCUGGCCACUGCAGAGGUCUGGGUCAGUGUUAGAUGGAGGGAUUGAGCCAGAGUAAAAAUAGUAGAAUAGAGGAAGUAGGAAGGACCCAGGCAAAGCUUGCCUGGGAGCUGAGAUCAGUGACCUGGCGACGGUGUGCACAUGUAGGGGGCCUGGGAGCCUAGCUCCACUACUACCACUCUGCUUGGCUGAGAUGGAGAGCGGCACCAUCAGGGAGAGGACUUUAAGAUGCUGAUAAUGAACUUAGUUUAAAGGGUCUGAGAGAUUGCUCUUAAUUCUUUUAGGUGGUUGUUCAGUUUCUGCAAAAAAAUGGCAAAGAGCUCUCAUGUGAGAACUACCUUAAUUUAUAUGCCAAAGCUGGUGUUUGGAAGACAGUCUUUUUAAGAAUUAUAAAGGAUAUUUCUGAAACUGUGUCUCAUGAUUUUUGAACUACUCUGCUUUUUAUAGGGGUAUGUUUCUGUCAGCUUCUGUUGCUUUAAAAGCUAAGGAGAGAGUAGAGAAACAUGCUUCUUGGCAGUAACUCAGCUCCUAAAUUCUAGCCUAAGGCAGGCUCCGUAGGUCACACUCUUCCUGAAUGUUAGGGCUUCUGUCCCCUCCUUUUCCGCUGCUUAACCAGUAGUAUGUCUUGUGUGCAGGUGGUCUGGAUAAAAGGACAUGGUCAUAAGAGAAUUGUAGUGUUAAAAAAUGACAUGAAAAGUAAGUAAGCACCCAUCCCCUCCCCCCUUAAAAAAUCACGGUUCUCUCACUGACAUUUCUCUCUGACGGGUGCUCUUUGUCCUGUAGGUCGUUUGAGUUCACUCAGUCUCUCCCCUGCCAAUCAUGAAAACCAGCCCUCGGAGGGCGAGCGCAUCCUGGAGGUGCCCGAAUCGCACACAGCCUCGGAACUCAAGCUUGGAGCUGACGGCAGUGGGCCCAGUCACACAGAGCAGGAGCUUCUCCGCCUGACCGACGACUCCCCCGUCGACCUCCUGUGUGCGCCUGUCCCCUCGUGCCUGCCGUCCCCUCAGCUGAGACCAGACCCCGUUAUCCUCCAAUCUGCUGAUCUCAUUCAGUUUGAGGAGCGCCCUCAAGAGCCUUCUGAAAUUAUGAUUUUAAACCAAGAAGAAAAAAUGGAGAUUCCAAUACCAGGAAAGAGCAAAACUCUGACCUCUGACUCCAGCUCGUCCUGCAUCUCAGCAGCUGUCCCCGUGCCUCCCUGCCCCUCCUCGGAAACCUCCGAGUCACUGCUCAGCAAGGACCCCGUGGAAAGCCCGGCCAAAAAGCAACCCAAAAAUAGAGUCAAAUUGGCAGCCAACUUUUCCUUAGCACCUAUAACCAAGCUUUAACUCCCAUUUGGAAUAUAGAAUUAGGAUGGGAAAACACUGUCUGAUUCUGCACACAAAAGUGGGUUUCAAAAAUACAUCCUUUUCUGUGUCAUGAAAACCCCCCGAAGCCAUUGACUUCAUCUUACCUGUGUUCUAUCAUGUUUUUCUUUUCCAUUGAACACAGCUUUGAGCUGAAGUCUUUCUUUUCUUCUUCCUUUUUCUUUCUUUUUUCAAUUAUUUGAAGAACUUGUGGCAUUUGUUAAAGAAUCCUUAAUAUAUUUUACCAAAUUUUUAGUAACUAUUAUGAAAUACAAUGGUGUUCCAAAAGAAGAAAGCACUAAAAACUCAACUAGCAGGAAGCGGUUUUGCUUCCAUUGAGCCACGUCGGUGGUGUCAUCCUACAUGUAGCAUAAUAGAGUCUCUCAGCCUUUGCUUACUGGUGUUUCCGACAGUAUUAACCCAGUGCGUGGCAUGUCUUUGAAGCAAAGCCUGUCCCGCUAGCCUGUGUGUUCACACACCAAAGGAGAAGGGUAGGCGAGGGGUUCGGAGUGUAUUUUCAGGUUGGAAUGUGAAGGUUCCUGGCUUCCAUGUGACUUGUAAGUGUGCCUUGUUUUUUAUUUAAACUAUGUCUGUAGUUGACAAAAGUGGCUUCAUCACAAAUUUUUUUAAACGUUUCUACUUUGGGGUUCCAUUUAGGAGCUUUCUAGAAAGUUGAGGAUGUUUGAAGCUUCCCUUCUGUGUUCCAGUUUGAUAUGGGUUAGGUUAAGGAAAAGGAGAUGGUCUCGAUGUCAUGGAUUUAAAGUCAGCAUUUGGAUUACAACACACAUUAUUGUGUGUCGAGAGGCAGCAUUGGAAAGAGCCUGAUUUUCUAAAAUAUGCAUCAAGUGCAUAAAUUACAAAUCAGAGCUGAGUGGGGAGGUGCUUCAGCAGCAGCGGGAUCAAUACGAUUUCCACUGGGAAGAGACAGGAAUUCUACCUACACAUAGGAAGGCCAAGGUUGAUCCACUUAACCUUGUUAUUGUAAUUUUAAAGCUGGUAUCGGUAGCUGGGAAGCUUUAUGUGUGUGUAUGUCAGCUCAGCAUCUUUUAAUCGUGUCUGAUUUUACUCUCGUUACUUCUCGCUGUUGGAAGCAUCUCUGGGUUUCUUGUGGCGUCUGGUGUGGAAUGGCCUUCCUCUCUAGGUGCCUGAGGUGUCCGCUGACGGGUGGCCUCUCACCCCCCUCUAGAGAAACCUGACAUUUACAAUGGAUUGUAUUUGUCCGGCAAAAAAGGCGGAUUCAUUCAUAGAGCAGAAAGAACCUGUUGGCGUAAGGUCUUCCACUAGUUAGAUGGUUUCUUUUGGGGAAAUGUUUAUAUUUGGUAACUUCUAGAAAGCCAGAAAAUGGACUCUGAUUUCAUAGCAUUUUGAUAAAAUGCCACAAAAUAAGGGCUAUAGAGAGAUUUUUACAAGUCAGAUUUUUUGUUCCCCAAAUCUUUUAAAUGAAGCCAGUGACUCCCAGUUCUCAACACAUGGCCCCAGUCAAGACAGAACACCAUGGAAAAAACCCUGUAAGUAUUAUGGCACUCUCCGAAUCCUCCUGAAGGCAUUUCCUCUACAGACAUAGUGUUACAGGAAGUGAAAUGCAAAUGUGCAAUUUUUUUUAAAGGAGCUUUUAAACAAAGUAAUAAUAAUUGGUGUUGAGAACAUCAGUUGCCUUAUUCUAAGAUUUCAUAAGGCUGAGUUUGCACGCUUGGACUUCAGUUCUGCUAGCAUGUAAAGAGUGGUGGACUUUAAAACCGUAAGAGGUAUCAUUACAAGUCACCUGGAACAGACUCAAAGAACAGGUUCUUUGGGCAACAGACAAAGAAGAAUCAAGUUCUGUGCUGUCCCGUGAGUGUGUCUGAGUACCAUUCACUGGAGUUGCUGCUUAGGUCUGGGACGUGUGUGUGACUCUUAACAAUUGCUGUCUGAAAAUGAGAGAGAAGACUUCGGAAGCACAUUGUGUUCAUAAUGUACUCCACAAUGGCCAGUCCAAUUGCUAUCUAUUUUUUUAUCCAGAGGCUUAAUUAAAUGAUGUGGUAAAAUGAUGUUUGAGCAUUAAGACAAUGUAAUUCUUUAUUUCUGGGUGGAAAGAUAUACCGGAUUAAAUUUAUCUGUUUAAAAAAAUGACAAAAGUUAUCACCAAAACCCCCUUUCCCAUCUUGCACUGUUUGUUUUGGAUUGGGUUUGGGGGAAAGAGAUGUUUUUCUUAGUUGUCUACUUUGUUUGAACACUUUUGUUGUGGUUCAAGUGCUGUUUUGUGUGUUGGGACCAAACAGUUGUCAAUAAACUUUACAAGCGAGCAUCU